RNAcentral lists this long non-coding RNA (334 nucleotides) under Hordeum vulgare. RNAcentral describes it as "long non-coding RNA (HVUL_LNC015846)". Lineage: Eukaryota; Viridiplantae; Streptophyta; Magnoliopsida; Poales; Poaceae. The record is from RNAcentral.
AUUAAUAUCAUCCAUCAUAUAACAUCGCAUAAUACAUCUCCCAGGUUUACAUAACACAAUAACUCAUCUCACGAAUACAUUUCCUUACACAGGAAUAUAGUAAGAACGGACAAAAUUGCACAAGAGAACAAUGGGACAUCUGCUAACAAUGGAGUUCAUUCCAAUCUCCUUUGAGACAUAGGUUCAGAAAUUUUUAUGUUGUGUUGAUUUGAAUGUCCCAAGUAGGCAUCAUCGACAUCUUCUCACCACUUUCCUAGAAAUAGAAAAAAGACAAAACAAAAAACAUUAGACCGUAAUAUUACACCAGAGCACAGAUCACUAACUUCAAAUCACA